AGAGUUUGAUCCUGGCUCAGAUUGAACGCUGGCGGCAUGGUUAAAACAUGCAAGUCGAACGAGAAACAGACUUCGGUCUGUGGACAGUGGCGAAAGGGCGAGUAAUGCGUUUCUAACGUGCCCAGAGGUCAGGGAUAGCCCAGGGAAACUUGGAAUAAUACCUGAUAACCCCGCGAAAUCGUAUGGUUUUGCGUGCAAAGGUUUACUGCCUCUGGAUCGGGAAACGUCCUAUCAGCUUGUUGGUGAGGUAAAGGCUCACCAAGGCUAAGACGGGUAGCGGGUGUGAGAGCACGGCCCGCCGCAUCGGGACUGAGACACUGCCCGGACUCCUACGGGAGGCUGCAGUAACGAAUAUUCCGCAAUGCGCGAAAGCGUGACGGAGCAAUGCCGCGUGAAGGAUGAAGCACCUCGGUGUGUAAACUGCUGUCAGAAUUUAGUAAUAAUGAACAAAUUCAAAGGAAGGACCGGCUAACUUCGUGCCAGCAGCCGCGGUAAUACGAAGGGCCCGAGCGUUGCGCGGAAUCACUGGGCUUAAAGGGUGUGUAGGCGGAAGCGUCAGUGUCUUGUGAAAGCCCACGGCUCAACCGUGGAAUUGCAGGGCAUACUGCGUUUCUUGAGUGUGGUAGAGGCUGUCGGAACUAUAGGUGUAGCGGUGAAAUGCGUAGAUAUCUAUAGGAACAUCGAAGACGAAGGUAGGCAGCUGGGCCAUUACUGACGCUGAGACACGAAAGCGUGGGGAGCAAACAGGAUUAGAUACCCUGGUAGUCCACGCCGUAAACGAUGUACACUAGGUUCGGGGAGCUCUGACGCUUUCCGGGCCGCAGAGAAAUCAUUAAGUGUACCGCCUGGGGAGUACGGUCGCAAGAUUAAAACUCAAAGGAAUUGACGGGGGCUCACACAAGCGGUGGAGCAUGUGGCUUAAUUCGAGGCAACGCGAAGAACCUUAUCCUGGGUUGAACUACGGCGGUUCAUCCAUGGAAACAUGGUGUCCUUCGGGAGACGUGCACAGGUGCUGCAUGGCUGUCGUCAGCUCGUGCCGUGAGGUGUUAGGUUAAGUCCUUUAACGAGCGAAACCCCUGUCGUUAGUUGCCAGCGAGUAAUGUCGGGGACUCUAGCGAGACCGCCGGUGUCAAAUCGGAGGAAGGUGGGGAUGACGUCAAGUCCGCAUGGCCUUUAUGCCCAGGGCUGCACACGUGCUACAAUGGCGGUACAGAACGACGCAAUACCGCAAGGUGGAGCAAAUCGCUUAAAGCUCGCCCCAGUUCGGAUUGCAGGCUGCAAUUCGCCUGCAUGAAGUUGGAAUCGCUAGUAAUCGCGGAUCAGCUACGCCGCGGUGAAUACGUUCCUGAGCCUUGUACACACCGCCCGUCAAGUCAUGGAAGCUGGCAGCGCCUUAAGUCGCCACGAUUCAGUGGUGCCCACGGCGAGGCUGGUGACUGGGACUAAGUCGUAACAAGG
Molecule: ribosomal RNA, 1458 nt
Filed under: uncultured prokaryote
Description: partial 16S ribosomal RNA
Rfam family: Bacterial small subunit ribosomal RNA
Source: RNAcentral